This 8021-nucleotide long non-coding RNA is filed under the name Musa acuminata (dwarf banana). Its description in RNAcentral is "long non-coding RNA (MACU_LNC007665)". Lineage: Eukaryota; Viridiplantae; Streptophyta; Magnoliopsida; Zingiberales; Musaceae. The record is from RNAcentral.
AGUUAACCUCUAACUUCUGAAGAUAUAGCUAUCAUCCUCCAGAAUUAUGGAACCGAACCCAUUACCGCUCCCUUCUUAUUAUUCUUUACUUAUUUCAGUGAAUAGUAGUUACACAGAUUCUAUAAGAGAUGAAAGUGACCUCUUCUUUUCGCUUUAAGAAAGGAAUAAUUGUAGGUUCCAUCUAUAAGGAAUAAUUGUAGGUUCCAUCUAGAAAUAUCAGUUUCAGAAGUUCAUCUUUCUAUAAGUGAGUCACUUCACUGCUGUAUCUUUAGUUAUUGAAUCUCAUGAUUAUUGAAUAGUCUUGGUUUGGUGCCUAUAUGCCGUAUGAGAUGUUGGUACCGUAGUCCUAUUAUGGAGUAAGGAUUGUGAUUCUGAAAGUCGGUGCUCUGCUCUCUCUCUUAAAGGGUUAAGUCAGAUCCUGUCAAUAUACCGUCUGAAGGCCUGGCUUAAGCUACUGAAUGAAUGGAACAACUUCUUUUAGCGCUGACUUGAACCUCUUCUCCAGCUUAUGCUUUAGUUAUUGUUUUUAGUACUUCUGCAAGUGCUGAGUCUGCCUCUGUAUCUCAAUUACUAUCUUUAUAGGCGAUGUGCACUAUCAAAUAAGAAGUUUAGUUCAACAAGCAAGUCAUAAGUUCUAAUAACCAAGGGUGGUAGCUAGUAAAGUAUAAAUCGAAAGUAAAGUAUAAGGUCUCUCAACGUCGAAAGCAAGGGGAAAAACUCAAGUACUUCUGUAUAGGCUGAGGAUGCCAAGAAAUAGGAAAUUCUUCAAGGCAGGGGCACAAGCCAAUCUGUUUUUUUGGGGCACAAGCCCUAUAGCGUAAGUGAGCAGAACUUUCACUUUUCUUCUGAAUGACUUAGUUUGAGCUACAUCGGAUCGGUGACGACUUUUACCACUAUUCGGGCAAGGGUCAAGGAAUAGCGGCUCUGGGCUAUAAAGUAAAGAGUGAGUUUCGGAGUAAGGAAUGAGUUUUGAAGCAAUGCUCUAGAUUGAAUCUCUUACAUCUAUAUUCUUAGAUGGGAUGCUUUAUUCUUUGAUUGCACCGUUGGUUGUGCCCUAUAUUAUCCGUUCUCCGUUCGCCCAUGCUGCUUGUUUACAUAUUUGUUUACAUGUUAUUGUUCCUUUCUUUACUUGUUGAGUUCGAGCAUUCAACAUAUGGUUCUGUUGCUUGUUUACUCUAAACUAUAGCAAUACCACUUUACUCGUUGAGCACAUCGAGGUUCAUUGCCGGCAAUUCUGGUAGUCGAAUGAAGAAGUUGGGAGGGCCAGUAUGAAGUCAAGUCAGAGAAUCAUAUGCUAGUCAGGUACCAGUAACACUAAAUGAGGCCGGAGGCGGAAUGCUCUCGAAACCAAUUAACUUGAGUGAGACAUAGUAGAGUGGAGUUCGCCAUGUAUAUUCUUAUUGUUCCCUAGCUUAUAGGUUCGCCAUGUAUAUUCUUAUUGUUCCCUAGCUUAUAGAUUGUUCAUUGAAAGCACUACUUAUAGAUAGAUGAUAGUAAAAACACUGCUUACAAGUAUAUUGCUGACAGCUUUUCCCUUACAAACUCAUAUCGGCGCUGCCCAAGAUUUCAUUUCCCUUACUGCUUUUAUCUUGAAAACUCCCUUACUGCUUCUCUAAAAAACGAAGCUAGGAAACCGAACUCUAUACUCAAACCUAAAGAGCAUAGGUCUCCCUGACAACUACAGAAUGGAAUGGAGUGCACAACAAAUGUCAUAUAGUAACUAAACAGGCGCUUACUCUCAUCAAUAUAUAAAAGAGUGCAACAAAGGGUUCAGAACUUGUUUCAUUGAGUGCACUGUUGCUUGUUUUCUUUCGCACCCCGAUAAGUAGCCUAAGGCGAAACUCUUUGACUUAUGAUUAUAGCUUCAAAGCAAGUAAGAGAAUCGUUCAAAGCUGUAACCCAUUGGAGUUGUGUAAGAGGCCGAGGUAGCACACCUUUCUUUGGGCGAUAUCUACUCAAUUGUAUAAUGAGGAUCUUUAGCAAGCAAUAAGUACUUAAAUAAGACAUUUCGCUGAAAUCUAGAAUUCCACAUUUUGCAAGUGUACCAGAUUCUUGAUUAUUUCGAGGAAAAGGUGAGGGAGUCUAUAAUCCGUUCCUUUGAUAUGCGGAAUUUAUAUGAAGCUCUGUGUCGGUUAAGUGGAGUAGAGUCAUAGUAGGCGGCCAGAAGCCCUAUUAGUGGGCGGCCAGAAGCCCUAUUUCCAUCUAUCCGUCCGUGCAGCACUUUCUUCUUAGAAUCGAAUGGGAACUUCCAGUAUUGUUUUCGCCCCAUGUCUUUGAUGAAACCUGAGCUGAGGUAGAAGAAACGAAAGCGCUUAUUUCUUCCAUCUAAUAAGGAUGGAUAAGUCAAAACAAGAGAAUAUAACCUAAAAAGGAUAAGUCGAAACUCUAGAAUAGAACUCUUAAGGAACCAAAGAAGUCCCGAUCCGAUAGAAGUUGUUCUUCAAAAUGGACGCUAAGUACUGCCCUCAGAAAUACCCAAGAUAGACCCUACAGGCUUUUGUUAUGGAAAGGCACACUACACUGGUCGAUAAUUCUUUACGAAUGGUGAUACGCGCACGGCUAUACAUAGAGCUUAAUACUGAUUGCUUUUGGAUUCUAGCUUGGAAUAAGUUCACGGGCAGUUGCCUAUACAGCCUUUUCUUCUCGCAGUAAUCGAAGACCCGCUAUCCAGGCGAGAGCAUAAGCUUCUAGGAAAUCCGUUUGACUACGUAGUCCUAUAAGAACUGAUGUUAUAGCCUUGAAGGGAAUAGGGCUUACCUGCAAGAGAUAAGGCCAGAAACUCGGCGCAGAUAAGAAAUCUAUCUUCUCAUUGCUUUGUAAGGGGAAAGGCUAAGGGUUAAGGUAAAGAAUCAAGUGUUUGUAGUUUCAUCCAUCUUAGGGUUGCCCAUUGCGCGUUCAGGGGAGAAAACAAACCCGAGCUGUCUAUAACCUACCUCCUUUAUAUCGCUACUUUAUUGUCUAGCUAAUAUUCUCUCUUCUCUCAAAGAAUGCCUAAUACCUGAUCUUCGCGAGCGCUGCGCAUCUAACUCGUCUAGGUAAUUCGCGCAUAAUUCCUUUGUCAGAAAUAAGAAAAAGAAAGAAUAAUAAGAAGUUAUUGACUGAAAGCGCUUAGUAAGUCUAUAUUCCCUCUAUUGCUGAAUCCUACCAUACCUAUACAUAGAAUAGCUUGAAUUCAUAGAACUCCCUUGAGUCAGAUCACAAAAGAUUCUUUCAUGGUAAGGGGCAUCCUACUUUCUUUUCUAAUUCAAAUAGGAUCGAGUUUCUUCAACUUAAACAGCCCUGGGUCUUUCUUUGUUUAAUUGGUUCUCCCGUGGUAAGCUAUAUGACUACUGGCUAGGCUGGGCCUCCUAUUAAUAAAGAUGGUAAGCCCGAUCCCUCACUCUAUUCUCUAACCGCUGAAAUGGAUUGUUUGCUUCAUUUCCCUCACUCUAUUCUAUAACCGCUGAAAUGGAUUGUUUGCUUCAUUAAAGUAAAGGAUAGAAUAUUGAUUGAAAGCCUCCCUCCGUAAGAAGUACUCUAUUGCCAGUCUCGGUCAAUUGAAUCUAACUGAGCGGUUCGUACUUUCCUUUCCUAUUCUUUUAUAUAAUUCCUUUCCCAUUAUUUGAUAUAAUUAUGGAACGGGUGUCUGAAAGAUAACUAAAAGGGUAGGUGGGCCUAAUAACAGUCUGGUCUAUUCUUGAUGCGCUUUAAUAGAUUUGAAGACAUCGAAUGUCGAAUGAGUUGAAAGAUAGCCCGACUUACAAGUUCGAAAUGUUAUCUUCACUUUAUUGGCUCCAUCACCUGCUGCUGCCUCUCGAAUCUUAUUCUGUGUAACAGGGAUAGGGAUGCCAAGACAAUGAUAUGGCCCCUUCCUCUUCUCAGAUACUACUGGAAAUGCGCGAUUGAUCGAUGGCUCGGCUGAUUUGCCUGACCGAGUCCUAGUCUCAAACCAUGUCACUCGGGGAGGAAGAGCAGACUUGAAAGCUGGGUAGGAAGAGCAGACUUGCAAGCAGGAGUCACGUGCUACAAAAGUGCAAAGAUAAGAGGAACAUCACAGAAAACGAGCUCUUUCUCUGAUUAGCCCUGUAGAUCACUGGCUAGAUCGGACUCUCUCUCUACCUUUGCUAACUCCGCCAGUAAAGGAAGUUAGUCCAUAGCGCCGGCUUUAUCAAUUUGUUCUGUUCUCUUGGGGGAUAUACCAAAAAUGAAGUAGUGUGGGCAUUAUGAAAGGGAUGAUACUCUAUUAAAUAAAGGGUCAAAUACUCUAUGAAAGGGAUGAUACUCUUAAGGGAUUCUACUCUAAAGGGAUAUGAGACUCUCUUAUUUAUUCCAGAAAGCAAAGAGAACGAUUGGUAAACUAUUGAACUGUAAUCACUACUUCUAUUGCAACUGUGCUAUUACCAAUUCACUCACGGACUUAUAACAGCUUAACUAACUACUGUAUUGACUAGGGAUGGAAAGCAAGCUAGUCAUUGUCACUACUGCUAAGUAAGUACUAGUAAUAAGCAAUGUCACCUAUGUCACUAAGCAAGUAACAGGAAAGCAAAGUAAUGUUAACUAGAAUCUAGGGCUGUUAACUGUAAUCUAGGGAAGCUAGGGUAUUGUUGGGUUACCGCUAAGUGAGAAGCAGUUGUGAAUGAAAGAGGUCUUUCUUGCAGCUAACGCGAGCUACUUUAGCUUACGUAGUGAAGUUGCGCUAACGUCGUUUCCGUUGCUUGUUGAACUCGCCGUGCCGUUAUUUCAAGAGAAGCCCCAUCUCUUCAUUGUUUUGUGAAGCAGAUAGAACCAACCCGAGGCUUGACCUGACCCAUUCUAAGAAAGGCAAACUCAAUAGAUAGCUUCGAAGAGGAACUCGUAGUUACAGCUUUUCAGGGACAGUCAGACCUCCUUUGCAGCUCUUGAUACUCGGUCAUUCCUUCCGUUCAGCUUAAGGUCCCUCGCCUCACUACAUUCCCUCAGCCCGGACAGCAAAGAAAGGGAAAAGUCCAUAAUCCAACUUAUUUCUCUAAUAGCUCAUUCAUGUACUCUCUCUCUUACUAACCAAUCCUUAUCUUAGGGGGAAAGAAAGGAAAUUCGUAAUUGUACUAUCUUACUUACCUUAGCAAUCCUUUUACCAAUCCGUAGAAGAAAGAAAAAGGAACAUUGGGCCCAUCCUGAAUUAUUAUAUUAUAGGGGCUCGGCUCAUUCAUGAAUACAAUAGUCCCAGCUGCAGAUCCAUACUUGAUUCUUGACUUCCCUGACCUUUAUCUGCUCAAGUCAUCUUUCAUUCUAUCCGUGCUUUCUAAAGUAUCAAGUGUCCUCAUGUUGGUAAGAAGAUAAGAGAAAGGUAAAAGAUUUGUUGUAAGGUAUAGGUUUUGUAGGAGAGGGAGUAGUCAGAGUCCGAGGUGUCGUAGGAAAGGAGGUUGUUAGAGUCCGAGGUGUCGUAGGAAAGGAGGUUGUUAGAGUCCACCUGACGCCCGUUCAAAGCAGUAUAUUAUUUCUCUUUCUCCUCUUCUCUUUUCCUUGGUAUAGAGUGGAAAGUGUUCUCUUUUCCGAGUAGGAACUGUGUCUGAGGGGCCCCUAUCAAAGGAGAGAUUUUCCGGGUAUGUGUGUUGUCACGAAAGUGCAAGGGGUGAUUCCUAGCACGGCACGCACGGCUAUAGGUUUUGAAAGGGUAGUAAAGAAAGAGCAGAUAGGAGCGAGUAAGGUGGAAUGCGGGGACUUGAAUACCAGCCUAGGAACGAACAGAACAGGUCUUUUUCUUUAGUGAUAAAUGCAUUUCAAGCUGGGGCAACUACUAAUCAAAAGGCGGCAACGGAACCGGCAACUCAACAUAACUCCUAACAAUAGUAACAAAACAGAGCACUUAAGUGAUUCAUAUCAUCUCAUAUCUGUCCAAAAACUACCAUAAGCUCUUGCGCCCUAGCUUUGCCCCUAGCUUGUUUCAAUAAUCAAAGUCAGACAUCUUUCUUCCAACUAUAAAAACACUUAUGACAGCUUCCUUUAGCUCAAAACACUUAUUACAGCUUCCUUUAGCUCACUUGUUUACUUUCUUCGUGUCUUUUCUCUUACUAGGCCUUUCUUUAGCCCACUUACUUAUAUUAGUACUUGGUUGGUCCUUAGCUUUGUAGCAUCAUAGUUUCUACUGGUGCGCUCCUAACCUAAAUAAAAGUCAGUUUAGCGCAACGGCGAAAUGAGCAUUUAUAUGAUUUUCCAAGAACUCGCUAUAGAAUAUAAUAUAAUCAUAGUCAAAUAUAAUCAUAGUAAUAUAAUCAUAGUCAAAUAUAAUCAUUGUAUAGUAAACUCACAGUAUUGCUGACUUUCGACUUAUUGUUCUUGCUUGUUGAAUCACAUUUUCAUGAAGGACAACUAAACUAAUAGCAGCAUAGUGCCCCGGACUACAAGAAUGGAAGAUAGGCAUGGUUCUGUUGCUUACAGAUAUGAGUCUUAAGUGAGAAUGGAGGCAUAAGAGAAUGGAGUGCCCAGCCCAAUUCUAUAAUAUCAAUACCGCCGACUUUCUAACAACAUUACUAUAAUGAGACGAUACUUCCAUCUUGAUACGAUCGAUUCUACUUCACUUUCUUAUUCUUUAUUAUGGACUUCCUUCUUUAUACACGAUUCUAUUUCGACUUUCUUCUUUAUACACGAUUCUAUUUCAUUUGACUUUAUUAGAGACUUCGAGCAAGCAAUAAGGGUAGGCUGAGCUAGUGUGAACCAAAUCCUUUAUUCUUCCCAAACUCCAGUAAGUGUUAGCGCGCAUAUAUCAUAUAUAGAGUUUCUAUAGUGGAGCUUCUGAGUUCGCUAUUACUUGUUUUUUCUUUCUUUCUAUCUAUUGCUUGUUGAGUCAGGAGCUUUCUAGUAAGGGGUUAUGUUACUUUCUUGCCGAACCCUACACUAUACUUGAUAAGGACAAAAGCAGAGGCACUAUCAUCACAAACUAUUGAGUACAUGGGGAUAGUGUAGAGUUAGGGUACCAUUAAGUUCGUAGGGUACCAUUAAGUGAGUCAGGAGUCUGUCUGUUUUGAAGCAAAAGGAACAAGCACCAAAAGAGUAGAGUAUUCAGGAAUAUGCUUAGCGCUUCAACGCCCUGCCCUCUUUCUUGCUAAUACGUCUUUCCCGCCUUACCCUUAAUUCAAACAAGCCAAGGGGGCAAGAACAACAAGAAUCAAACUCGUAUAGGCAGCAGUUAAGCAGAAGCGGAGAGUUCCAUAAGUAACGGAAUCAAAAGGAUAAGCGCAAGGGAAUUACAAAGAAGAGAUUUUGACUUACUGGGCUUUCUGUACACUAACACGUCCCGUCCCGAACUCCCUUAACAGACAAAGGAAAGAUGGCUCUUAUAAUGCAGUGCAGUUUUUCUUACUAACAUGGAUCUGCGCCUAAUACGGAUCUUUUUGUUCUUGAGCUGAGCUCUUGCUUGUUGCAGUGUCACAAGUGUAGUUCGAGCAAACCCUGCUUUGAUUCUUGUUUCGCCUAUAACUGACUUAUAUUAUAGGAAUAAUGGGAAUAAGUAGUGGAGCUUAUGGGAAUAAUGGGAAUAGUGGAGCUCUUAUGGGAAUAAUGGGAAUAAGUAGUUUAGUUCCAUUUCGAAUAGAAUAGAAAGCUUCACUAAAUUACUCCGCAAUAAGAUUGAUAACUCUACUCACCUUUUCACCCUAAAAGUCACAGCUAACCCACGAAUGGCCAAUAAAGCUACCUUCAUGAAUAGCACGCCCCGAAUCCUAUCAUUAUUAUUGAAUACUCUAGGGUGUUUACAAUGGAAGGUCAGAAAUAGAGUGAGUGAUUCUUCAAUGCUAGAGCUAAGACCGAGGAGAAAGCAAGCGCUCUUAGCAGAAAGCUGGGCCGAAUAUCAAGUGUAGUCAGGGGGCUUUACUUAGCGAGUGGUGCACUACGGCUUUCAUGGAAUUGAACCGCUUGCUUCGACUUCUGACUUCACUGCUUUAACCGUACUCUACACUUGAGGAACCGCACUAAACUCGCUUACACUGAAUUGAUCCAGAUCAUGCUGCUUCGGCUCCCUAUUCUUCUCCAGCAAUAUGAUCUUCUGCUCCUCGGGAUUCAACAAG